UACAGGGGGGGCAAGCGUUGUUCGGAAUUACUGGGCGUAAAGGGCUCGUAGGCGGCCAACUAAGUCGGACGUGAAAUCCCCAGGCUCAACCUGGGAACUGCGUCCGAUACUGGAUGGCUUGAAUCCGGGAGAGGGAUGCAGAAUUCCAGGUGUAGCGGUGAAAUGCGUAGAUAUCUGGAGGAACACCGGUGGCGAAGGCGGCAUCCUGGACCAAUUCUGACGCUGAGGAGCGAAAGCCAGGGGAGCAAACGGG
Molecule: ribosomal RNA, 253 nt
Filed under: uncultured bacterium
Lineage: Bacteria
Description: partial 16S ribosomal RNA
Rfam family: Bacterial small subunit ribosomal RNA
Source: RNAcentral